UUUUUUUUUUUUUUUUUUUUGUGGGGUUGGUGGAAGAAAUCAUCACGUAAUACGAGAUACGAUUGAAAAAAUAGUUGCGCCCAUAAACGGAGGAACAAAAGAAAUCUGCAGAGCUGCCUAUUGAUUUGGCUGGAAGCUGUGUAAUUUUGAUGUCAACUGGCGCAAUAUUAAUAUAAGGUGUGGAUUUACCACUUAUUCCUGAUAUUCAUGAGAAGAGCGGGUUUCAAUCUCACGAGAGUUUUCAAUUAUCCGGGAAAAUGAUUAUUAGAAAGAAAAACAAAAUGGGGAGAGGCGUGGUUGUGUGUAUCCACGCGACAGACAGUUUUAAGCGGUCGAAAAUGGAAAAGUCUGUUGGACUUGAAUAGGUGAUGUCGACGAAGUCCCAACAAGCUCCUGGACAGGAAGUAAUUUAGGCACUAAACAAACACUACUACUGGUUAGUUGUCUUUCCAACUCCUACUAAGUACUAACCAACCAACCGAAAGCAAACAAACGCAAAAGAGAGCCCCCAGUCUUCUUCUUUAUAUAUCUGUCUCUAUAUGACUACUUUUUCAGGCGGAGAAACUGUCGUGGCCGCCGGAGUGAUGUCCCACCUAGUCCUUAGCUGCGAAUCAUUUACCGUUGUCUUGCCAAUCAAUUUUCAUGGUAAUAUAUAUAUAUAUAUAUAUAUAUAUAUAUAUAGAGAGUAAAUUCAAAAUUUACCGAAAUCCACAUUUUACACAUUGGUAAACUGCAAAUAUAUAUAUAUAAUUAAAAAAAAAGAAAAGAAAGUGUAGCAUUUGUGUUAGCAAUCUUGUACGGCCAUUUAGUUAGUGUUGUAUUUAAAUACACAAGGGCAUCUUCCUUGUAAGAUACACUACUAUAAGCCAGACAAAUCUCCCAUCCAUAUCAUAUGUAAAACUGCAAAGAGGGAGGGAAUGAUUCAACGAGUCCAAGGCCAACAGCUAUGAGGUAUCCCAUUCCCAGCCCCCGCGACCGCGAGAAAGAUCAAAGAGAGAAGCCCCCCAGUUUUUACGUUCCCAUACUUAAAACAAAUCAAAGCAUCAUCCGUCGAAUAAUCAAAAGCAUACCAUCCAUGGCCAUGGAUUCUUGACCGUUGAAAAGUCCCACCCCAAUUAUUCUCCUACUCGUUUUUCUUUUUCUUUUUAUUUUUGGUUGAAAAAAAGUAGUGUUCUGCAUCAUUGACCACAAAUAGAAUAAGAUAAAAUUGAAAGAAAAGGCUUCACAGCAGACUAAUAGAAUAAGCGUUCUCGUUUUAAAAUAUAAUGUCAUAAUAAUACUCAUGCCUUUACCAGUAUAUUAGACUAUUAUCCAACUAAUAACUAAGUGAAAGCUGAGAAUUUGGUUACAUGUUGUCGUUAAAAGUGGGUCCAUGAAUUGAUACUUGUACUCUAUAAGUGGACGGUUUGUCUAAUACGGAUGCCCAUAAUAAGACACUUGGUAACAUAUAGUUGAGGUGUUAUAUUUUUAAAAAUAUAAGAUUAAUUAAAAAAAAAAUAUAAGUAUAAAAAAAAGUAGAUCGGAUUAAAUAAAAAAAUAUAUAAAUGUAAGAGAGAAUACUAAUUGUUAGUAUAUAUAUAUAUGAAAUAAGUUAUGUAAAUAUUAAAUGUGUUAACGAAUUUUCUAAAAGCACUUGAUAGAAAAAUCAUAAGCUGAUUGUUACAUGCCACUCACGAAAUUUUCAUAAUAACAAAUGACCGUAUGCAAUCAUAAUUACAAGCAAAUGCGGAAAAAAAAAAGGCUUUCUAUUUUGUGACAUCGGUGCCUGAAAUAAUAAAAAAAAAAGGGUGAGUUUAUUGCGAGGCAAAUUUUAAAAUCAUUGCUCGCUCUAAAAUUAGCGUCAUAAAACGCACUUUUUAUAAUAUUUGGAGCUCGGUGGGUACUACAGAAUACAAAGAAGGGAGGAAAAAGAGCAAAAAAAGAAAAAAAAAAAACAGAAAACAAAAGAAAAAGCAGCAAGAGUCCAAGGUAAGAGCUGAUCUCACAAAUCCUCCCUCAGACGCGGCUAAUUGAUCAGAAUAUAGACGUAAAAAAAAAAGGUCAGACAACUACGGUUCUGGCAUGGGGGUUGUAUAAAUCUAUGGGUGCCGGGCUGACACAGCCCGGCACCUGACACACCAAUUUUUUUUUUUAAAAGUUGUCAGGUGCCGGGCUGUGUCAGCCCGGCACCUGACACCACUUUAUUUUUUUUUUAAGUUGUCAUAGCCCGGCGCCCAUCAAAGCAUCCCAAACCAAAGAUAUCCAUUUUGUGUUUUGGUUGAGAAAGAGAGAGACCCGAAAAGUUGUGUUGCAUGAAGAUUAAUUUGAAUAGGGCACUAUAUAAUCUGAUAAAGGUCAACCAAAAUAAAAAAUUUGACAAAGAAAGUGUCAAAAUUGGCAUGGAAUUGAAUCUAGUAUGUACCCUUGCAGAGUUCAAUAUUAUUAUAGCAUAACUAAGGCCUUGUUUGGAUUGCGGUUUUUCGUCGGAAAAUUACGUCGUUUUCCGUGAUCACAUUUCCCUAUUACCUUUUUUCCUCACAUACAUCAAAUCGCUACAAUAAUUUUUCCAUGAAAAAUCAUGAAAAAUGCAAUCCAAACACAACCUAAGUAUUGACGGAUUCCAACUCAAGUUGCAUAUGUUGCUGCUGAUUCAGGAAACGGGGUAGCCGGAAAUUAUACACAGGAAAAAAAAGAGGCAAAUAGGAAAAGUAAACAAAAUUACUAGCUGGGCUUAUUUUAGUUUAGAUCAAUGAGAAUGGUGCUUGUAACUUUUGCUAUAAGUAUGAGUCAAAAUUUGAAUCGGUAUAGAAAAAUAAAAAUAAAAAACACAUUUGACAUUCAACUUUUACAAACACGCAAAAGGUGAAAAAAAAAAAAUUUUUGGGUCAAGGCAUCUUGACAAAAAUUUUUAUAAUAUUUUGGAUUGAGCAUUAUUUCUUCAAUUUUAUUUGUUUACAACAUCAUUACAAUUUUCAAUACACCUUUUUAUCUUCCCAAUUACCUUUUUAUCUCAUAUACAUCACAUCACAAAAAGUGUUACAGUAAAAAUAUCCCAAAUAACUUACAAUCCAAGCAAAUCCAGGCGUCGUAAUUAAAUUUCUUAAAAUAUAUAUCAUUUUUCACGGUAGCUCCUAACAAUUUUUUUGUCUCGCUUUAUCUUGCAUUGGACACAAUUAUACCUAUACUAUUAUUAACUCUUCUUUCUCUGGCAUUUUUUUGUUCCUUUUUUGUGGUAUUAUAUUUUCUUUGUCACUUUAUUGUUUCUUUAAAUUUUCUUCUUUUUUCACAAAAAUUGAUAUCUUAAUGAUUGAAAUUGAAAAAGAGAAACUGUAGAAUUCUAUCUUUUCCUUAAAUGAUUAAAAAAUAUUCAAAUCACUUGACUUGAAAUACAAUUAUCUAGUAUCCAUAUUCUUUUAAUUUUGAAUUUUCCUCUUUCAUUUAUAGUUUCUCAUUUUAUUCUCAAGAAAAUAUCGUAAGGCUGAAAUUGUGAUAUGAUUAGUAAUUAUCAAUUCCAAUUUGUGACAUGUUGCAUCAUGCAAAAGAUCAAACCCCAAACCCUAAACACUAAACCCUAAACCCUAAACCCUAAAACCCUAAACAUUAAACCCUAAACAGUAAACUAAUUCAUUUAAAUUCAUUUAAUCGAAAUUCAUUUAAACUAAUUAAACUAAUAACAUAUACUAAAUAACAUAAACUAACCUCGCCAAAUACAUCUAAAUUCAUUUAAUCGAACCUCUUAAAUUUAACUAAUUCCACAAUUAAUUCAACUAAUUAAUCGACUAAACUAAUUCAAAUAAUUGUUUACUAAAUAACAUAAACUAAUUAUCAACUAAUUUGCAUAAUAAAGUAAAUUGUAUUAAACUAAUAACACUAAUAUCUAUACUUAAGUUAUGCUAAAUACAUCAAUUUUAGUUAAACUAAUUUAAUUAAUCCAUUAAACAAAUUUAAACAACUGGAUACUAAGGUGAGAUUCCACCAACUAAGAAGCACCACUUAUUAGUCGACAUCUCAUAAAUACAAAAACUCUGCGGCUUCUUAACAAUUGAAUCAGAAGACAGAAAAUUGAAUUAGCUUUAAAAAGCUGUCAGGUGCCGGGCUGUGUCAGCCCGGCACCUGACAACUUUAAAAAAAAAAAUUGGUGUGUCAGGUGCCGGGCUGACAUAGAUUUAUACAGAUCCAAUGUCAGAACCGUAGUUGUCUGACCUUUUUUUUUUUCGUCUAUAUUCUGAUCAAUUAGCCCUCAGACGCGGACAUAUAUGCGUUCGUUCAUUUCUUCUCUGUUUCUCACGCAAUAUAUAUAUAUAUAUAUACACACUACAAGUAUAUUCUACUAGUAUUAUGAUUUGACCAAUUAAACGGGGGAAGGGCGCCGGCAAUAGCCGUCUCCUGGAGCUGAAAUUCAAACCAAGCAAACACGCCAUUUAAAGAUGGCCCUAAUUUCUUCCAUCCCCAUAUAUGAAUCUGAUACGUUCUUCUUCCUCUCAUUCCUUCCUCCUCCAAAAUCUCCAACUCCGGAACCCUCUCUCCCUCAUUUGUACUGCUACUAUACUACUAGCUUCAUAAUUAGCACUGCUAGUAUUCCUUUAUAAUACUAUACUGCUACUGCUAUUAGUGGUUUAUUAUCCUGUUCUCAUCAUCAUCAAAUCAUCUUCCGGAUGAUGAUGCCUUUUCCCUGUCGCUCCCGCACCAUCAUUUCUCCAUCGUUUGGCAGAUGAGGAGUUUGCCCUCUUCCUCCGUCGCUCUCACCCUUCUUUACUUUCUCCAUUUUAGCUCGUCUUUAAUUUCCCGGCAAUAACAACCCAACCCCCCCUUUUUUUUUCCUCUUCUUUUUCUUCUUCUCCUUCGUAAUUAUCGUUAGGCACAAAUCAUACGCGUCAUCAACCAUGUUUUUUCUAAAUCCAAUUUUAUUCUUGUUGAUAAUCGUAGUCCCCUUUUUAAUCUUUAGAUUCUUGUCCAGAACAUCCAUUCUGCAUAUCGCGAACAAUUGGUGGCGGACUUUAGCUGACAAAUUUUACGUGUACCAGUUGUACAGAGUUCCCCAAUUCAACGACCACAUGCAGGAAAAUCAACUCUACCGAAAAGUUCACACCUACCUCAGUUCUCUCCCGGCCGUCGAGGACUCCGACUUCACCAACCUCUUCUCCGGUGCCAAACCCAACGAGAUCAACCUCGUCCUCGACCCCAACCAGAUCGUCCUCGACAAUUUCCUCGGCGCUCGAUUGUUCUGGAUUAACCAGAAAUGCGACGGGUCUGGGUUGAAAUCGCUGGUUCUCAAGAUCAGGAAGUCCGACAAGCGCAGAAUUCUGCGCCCCUACCUCCAGCAUAUCCAUACGGUCUUCGAGGAACUCGAACAGCGAAAGGAUGUCAAACUUUACAUCAACGUCGAGGACGAGCCGCAGAGAAACGGACGGUGGAGGUCGGUUCCCUUCACGCAUCCGGCGACGAUUGACUCGGUCGUGAUGGACUCGGACUUGAAGAACAAAGUCAAGUCGGAUUUAGAAUCCUUCCUCAAGUCCAAACAGUAUUAUAACCGAUUAGGCCGGGUUUGGAAGCGGAGUUAUCUCCUCUACGGGCCCUCCGGUACCGGGAAGUCCACAUUCAUCGCUGCGAUGGCCAAGUUCCUCUCCUACGACGUCUACGACGUCGACCUGUCCAAAAUAUCGGGCGACUCUGAUUUGAGGUCGCUGCUGCUGCAAACGACGAGCAAGUCGCUAAUCGUGAUGGAAGAUCUGGAGCGCCAUCUGACGGGGAAAUCAACGGCGGUGAGCUUGUCCGGGAUCCUCAACUUCAUGGACGGCAUAGUCUCGUGCUGCGGCGAGGAGCGCGUGAUGGUAUUCACAAUGAACGGCAAGGAUCACGUUGAUCCCGCGAUUCUGAGGCCCGGGAGGAUAGAUGUUCACCUGGAGUUCCCUCUCUGCGAUUUCAACGCCUUCAAAAGUUUGGCCAACAGCCAUUUGGGUGUGAAGGAGCACAAGCUUUUCCCUCAGGUGGAAGAGAUGUUCCAAAGCGGGGCGAGUUUGAGUCCGGCCGAAAUUGGCGAGCUUAUGAUUGCCAACCGGGCCUCUCCCAGCCGGGCCUUGAAAUCCGUAAUAUCCGCGCUGCAGAAUAACGCGGACACCAAGUUAGCUGGCAGGGUGUCGCGCAACGGGUCGGUUCGGUCAGCGGAGGAAUCCGGCGACUCGGGAAUAUUGUGUAAAGACGCCGGUGUUUCCACCGUCAAGGAGUUUCGGAAAUUAUAUGGAUUCUUGAGGAGGAGUCGAAGGGAAUCCGCAGAUUUGGAUGACAAGGAAAGGGAAAUUGGUCGACAAGAAAGUUGAGUCGUGCCCACCCGUCCACCAAUCAAACUACACCAAAUCAGAAAACCCCGUUUAAAGUUUCAGAAGAGUAGUCUGUCUUUCUCUCGCUGUUGUGCUCAAUAGUCCAGUAAAGAUAUUUUUGGCUUUUUCUCUCCCCUUUUCCUAUCUUCCUUCCAUAGUAUAGUUAGCAUUUGGGGGAAAAAAUACUACUGCUGUAGUAUAUUUAAUUAGCACAGCGUUAAUGUUUAGCGGGAAAACUUCCACAGGAUACUACAGUAACGAUUGUUGUAGCAGUACAGAUAGAUCCAUUUUUAAGUAGCAUAGCAUUACAUUAAUUAUUAUUUGUUUGCUGGGAUCUUCUUCCCAAGAACAACAUAGCAGAAAAUUUUCCUUUCGUCCAUGUCAGGUGUCUAACGAUCUAAUGAUGUACUAGCAGUUACCCAAACAAAGUGCGGGGGCGGUCCUAGUCAGAAAAUAAAUGUUAGCGACAAAAGGAGGUUUUGGUUUCAACGCCUUUAGAAGAAGGAAGGAGGGGGCUGGCAAUGGCCUGUUGAAAUUGGGAUGCCCUCUGAAAAUGGUCAUUGACUUUGGACGUCCGUUGGUUGCAUUUUAUGUCUGAUUUUGACUUUUUUGCAAAAUGGCGCCGAGAUUGCCUACCGUUUUCAUAUCAUAUCAAUUAAUCAAUCAAUAAAGGCAUAAAAAAGGAUGACUUUUUUUUUUUUGGGGGCUACCUAGUAGAUAACACGACGCCUCACAAGAUUCAAAGGUUACCCUUAUUAUUCCUUUCUACUGGAUUGGUUUGGUUUGGUUUGGUUACGCUAUAUCUCCAAAGCGAGUGGUGGGUUCGUGAAUAAUACAUGACGCAGCGUAUAUGUGCUGUCGAAAGAAGAUGGAUAUGUCCAUUCCAUAUGUGAUAUCGAAUCAUAUCACUACUGCUUCGAUAGGGUUUGGAUGUGGAAUGUUGCUAAAUUGGUCUAGAAAAUGAAAAUUUAGUAGUAGAAGUAGUAGUAUCAAAGCUAAUCCAUUCGCAUAUGACGACAUGGAAUUCAUUUCGCAGCGUUGAGAAUGAGAAUGGCAUUCAAAUUGGGAAUCAGGCGAUCGUCAUAGCUGAAUGUGAAUGUUCUCCGUGUAUGGACUAAGUAUAGUAUAUCCUUCUUUCUUUCUUUCUUAUGAUGGAGAGAUGACGAUAAUACGCGGAUUUACAAUUGGUCUCCAACAACUCUCCUUAGUAUACUAUCCAGGUCCAUAUAUUCUUCUCUUAAUCUAGUAGCCAUGCCAUGCCCCCUUUGGAUAAUUGCUCUACUGUUUUGCAAAAUCUUUUUGUGGCCAUUUUCACAAAAUUAGUUCUGACUUGACAUAAAAAGAGGUGCUUGAUUUAAUUCUCUGCAAAUAUAUUUUGUGAUCUAAUGGCAGGUAUAAUGAACACUAAUGCAAAAUUUUACUCGUGUCACAAAGUACGAAAGUCCGCAUGAGAUCAUUGCAGGAAUGAACGCAUGCAUAUUCAGGAAAUUUUCAUCUACGAGGAUUGGAUUGUCGUCUAAUCAGUUACUUUCGCUAAUCUUAAAAUUUGGUGGUACUAGUGUACAGAGUGAAUCGAUCAAUUUGGAUUGUCAUCUAAUCGGGGACGGUGAGGUCGUUCCUCUGCCGCUACAGCUCCGUCGUCAUCGCAAACUCUCUUGGUAAUUUUAGGGCUUACACCUGCGCUGCCUCCUCCUCCUUCUUUUCACAUAGCGCCAAACGAGUGGGUACUCAACAGUGGCAGCUUUCAUUGCGACGAAGCUCUCGGCUGCUUUAUGAUUCGCCUCUCCAACAGCUUCUCCAAUGCCCAAAUCAUCCGUACCCGCGAUUCCCAGGCACUUUUGAAAAUAAUUUUGUUAUGACUGCCCGGACCUUUUUCCCCCCCUUUUCUUGCUGUUAAAGUGACUAAUUAGGAAAAAACAACCUAUUCAUUCGAGGUUCUGGAAGGGCUUGUUGCUGUACUUGAUGUUGGAGGAUUCUAUGACCCCAAGCAUUAUAGACCGUUACGACCGUCACCAGGAAGGUUUUAACGAGGUUUUGGCUAUGGACACUCCACUGAACUUAGCAGUGCCGGCCUCGUCUGCAAGGUAGCUUUUACUUGCCCAUAAAUCUCUCGGUGCUCUGUAUUUUUUUUUUUCCAUAGCCCUGGAUCCGGUGCCUGUUUUUUAGUAGUAGCAGCAGUAGCGGGUUUAGUCUAGCAGCAGAGUUGUUGGCGCGUGAAAUUUACAGUUAUUCAGAUUACUUUGUUAGAUAAAUAAGUUUAUCAAUCUGCGGUUAUCCUUUUCUGUUCCUGAUUUUUCACUUCCAGCAUUAUGGGAAGGAGAUAGUUGCCAAGGAGGUUCAGCUAGAUGAGGGACAUCCAGAUGUACACCUGUUAUUUUUGACAGUUUAUAACUUCAUGGAGGUAACAAUCCAACCGUGUAUUGUAAGCCUUGUCCUGAAUGGUUCAUGGACUUAGUACUGUUUUACCGGUCCAAUAAUAUUUUUGACUGAGCAAAUGAAACCUUUGAAUCCUAUCUUCUUUCUGGUUUUCCCUGUCCUUUUCCCAAGGAGUUGCUUCUUUAGUUUUAUUAUUGCUAUAGAUUAGACAAGGGAAGCUAGCUGAUUGACUGGAAUGGCAGUAUAGAAAGGUAUUGCUCUUGCUUCUUGACAUGGCCCGUGUAUGUUCUGUCAUUAGUCAGAUGCUUAUCAACUUGCACCAAAUUUUUUGCUUUAAUUGGCUGUAGAUGCUACUGACAAUGGAAUAAAUCAAUGCAAUACAGGCCAGCCUCCUAGGUUUGUGAACAACACAAGCUUGUGCUCCAGAGUUGGAAGAUUGAAUCUAGAUUGGACUCAUUUUGAUCAAUCACCCGAGCAUGAAAAUAAUGCCUUUCAACAAGCAAUGGAGCUAGCGGGGAAGGAAUUUUUGGAGGAGACUUCCCCUUGAACUCUCACUAUUCUGAGUUGGGUUUGUCUUCCACUCGACAAUAUUUUUGAAGUUAGUACUAGGCUGAUUGGAAACUUUUGUUUUCCUAUCAUCCUGCACAACUUCAGACGUUCAACUCAUAGCUUAAGCAUGACAAGAUUGUUAAAGGAACAAAUUUUUUUUUUUAAACUUUUCAUAUCGGAGUGCUCAUUUCUAUGCAAAAUCAUGGUUGCAAGUUCGAUCCGUAGUUAUGGAAUGUCUAGCAGAAAGAGAGAGCUGUAGAUCCAACUGGGGAAGUCAUUGUGCAAAAUAGAUCUUUUCCUGUAAGUGGAAACUGGUUGUCUCAAUCAUGUCCUUUUUUUUUUUUUUUUGUCAGCAACGAUAUAUUUUUUUGUCUCAAUCAUGUCCUUGAUGACCUUAUUUAGCUUUUUGAUUCUGUCAUCCUUCACCUCUUUCAAUUGUUUGCCUAUUGGUCUGUGAUCAUUCCUUUCCUUCUUUAACAAUCAAUAAACCCAAUGGUCAUGACAACCCAUAAUGACAGUUAUUAGCAUUUCAGCAGUGGAAGCUUCACAUUUUUGACCUGGAGAGGGAACAUUGAUACUUCGAUUAUGUAUGUUAUUUAUCAGGUACCAUCAUGUUCAUCACCCUACAUUAUUCUUUUUGAAAAGCAUGUUAAUAGGUUUAUUCUCUUGCAGUCCACUCAAAGAAGGAAAACAAUAUUCUUUUAUAUCAGCAUGUGCAUAGAAGGAAAACAAGUUCAAUGUCGUCUAUUAAUGAGAGAUAUUCUCUUGAUAAAUAUUCUUGCAUUACUUGCUUUUCUUGCCUCAAAGAAGCAAUAGGAAUAGCGACCUCAUCAAGGUCAAGUAAUUUAUGCUUGGCUAAGUGCAAUGUUUUCAUUUUGUUAGGUCAAAAUGUGUGCAACAGAUAGCUGGUGAAUCAUCUUUUCUUGGAAAAGAAUAUCAUUAGUUGCAAAAAAUUUCACGGUUUUAUUGUUCUGUAGGAUGAUAGGAGUGAGAACUGGCAUAUUCAGGAAGUGGCAGUCUCACCUGAAAAUUUUGAAAGCCGGAAACCCCGACCAUCUCUCUGGAGGGGUCUCAAUGAUGGAGAGCUUUGCGAAGCUACUCAUAUCCCUGGUUGUACUUCUGUGCAUGAGUGGAUUCAUUGGAGGAAAUGAAACUUAUGAAUGUGUUCUUGCUAUGGCAAGGGCUUCUUUGAUGGCUUAAGCAACAAACAAGGUAAUGAAGAACUUUCUUUGAAUAAGAUGCAUGUGCAGUUCGAAUAUGCUGACUCAAGUACCAUUGUUUUAUCAUCCUCAAAUCCUUAAUUUCUUGAAACUCAUUUCUGUACAACUAUCAUCGCAGGUAAAGAAACACACAUUAUUAGAUACUAUUAUGUUAAGGUUAAAAUUGAGUCCAUUGGGAACAAAAUUUGUGGCUCAACCUGAAUCUUCAGAAGCUGCAGGCAAUCCUUCUUUAAACCAGGUAUUUAGUCCUCCUUCCAAGUGGUAGACAUUGCUGUAACCAUUGAGAACUAGCAAGUAAGCUGCUAUCAGUGACCUACAUAAAGUAACAAAAGCAG
This 10776-nucleotide long non-coding RNA is filed under the name Coffea arabica (coffee). RNAcentral describes it as "long non-coding RNA (CARA_LNC001450)". The record is from RNAcentral. Lineage: Eukaryota; Viridiplantae; Streptophyta; Magnoliopsida; Gentianales; Rubiaceae.